AAGCCAGUUCAGUGUUCCGCUCAACUGGAAAGUGUUUAGCGGAGCUUAUUUCACUAUAACACUGGCAGAGUAAAGCCACAGUACGAGCCUGGAAGACUCUGUGUUCUCUGAGGUCCCAAGAGAUGGCUACAUCU
Small nucleolar RNA from Passer domesticus (house sparrow), 134 nucleotides. RefSeq annotates it as small nucleolar RNA SNORA33. The transcript has a single exon. NCBI's taxonomy places the organism in Eukaryota, Metazoa, Chordata, Aves, Passeriformes, Passeridae. The record is from RefSeq and is a predicted model, not a curated record.